GAUGAACGCUGGCGGCGUGCCUAAUACAUGCAAGUCGAACGAGGUGCUUUUGUAGCAAUACGAGAGUAUCCUAGUGGCGAACGGGUGAGUAACGCGUGGAUGACCUGCCCCAAAGUGUGGGAUAACAGUCCGAAAGGAUUGCUAAUACCUCAUGUGGUUAUCGGUUUUAGAAAGCGAUAACUAAAGCAGACAAUGCGUCGUUUGGGGAGGGAUCUGCCGUCCCAUCAGCUAGUUGGUGAGGUAACGGCUCACCAAGGCGACGGACGGGUACGGGACCUGAGGAGGGUCCGGCCCCCCAACAAGUAGGAACUAGAAAC
Molecule: ribosomal RNA, 317 nt
Filed under: uncultured bacterium
Lineage: Bacteria
Description: bacterial SSU rRNA
Rfam family: Bacterial small subunit ribosomal RNA
Source: RNAcentral